This 246-nucleotide ribosomal RNA is filed under the name uncultured Streptomyces sp. RNAcentral's name for it is "partial 16S ribosomal RNA". It matches the Rfam family "Bacterial small subunit ribosomal RNA", at positions 985 to 1235 of the family's 1533-position model. Lineage: Bacteria; Bacillati; Actinomycetota; Actinomycetes; Kitasatosporales; Streptomycetaceae. The record is from RNAcentral.
CAUAUGCCGGACACUCCUGGAGACAGGGGCUCCCUUUGGGCCGGUGUACAGGUGGUGCAUGGCUGUCGUCAGCUCGUGUCGUGAGAUGUCCCGCAACGAGCGCAACCCUUAUCCUGUGUUGCCAGCACGCCCUUCGGGGUGGUGGGGACUCACGGGAGACUGCCGGGGUCAACUCGGAGGAAGGUGGGGACGACGUCAAGUCAUCAUGCCCCUUAUGUCUUGGGCUGCACACGUGCUACAAUGGCC